UACGGGAGGCAGCAGUGGGGAAUAUUGCACAAUGGGCGCAAGCCUGAUGCAGCCAUGCCGCGUGUAUGAAGAAGGCCUUCGGGUUGUAAAGUACUUUCAGUCGUGAGGAAGGUGUUAAGGUUAAUAACCUUAGCAAUUGACGUUAGCGACAGAAGAAGCACCGGCUAACUCCGUGCCAGCAGCCGCGGUAAUACGGAGGGUGCGAGCGUUAAUCGGAAUUACUGGGCGUAAAGGGCACGCAGGCGGUUAAUUAAGUUGGAUGUGAAAUCCCCGGGCUUAACCUGGGAAUGGCAUUCAAGACUGGUUAGCUAGAGUCUUGUAGAGGGGGUAGAAUUCCAUGUGUAGCGGUGAAAUGCGUAGAGAUGUGGAGGAAUACCGGGUGGCGAAGGCGGCCCCUGGGACAAAGACUGACGCUCAUGUGCGAAAGCGUGGGGAGCGAAACAGGGAUUAGAUACCCUCUGAGACCUCGACG
RNAcentral lists this ribosomal RNA (472 nucleotides) under uncultured bacterium. RNAcentral's name for it is "bacterial SSU rRNA". It matches the Rfam family "Bacterial small subunit ribosomal RNA", at positions 340 to 802 of the family's 1533-position model. The record is from RNAcentral.